Long non-coding RNA from Trifolium pratense (red clover), 1456 nucleotides. RefSeq lists it as uncharacterized. The transcript has 4 exons. The record is from RefSeq and is a predicted model, not a curated record. NCBI's taxonomy places the organism in Eukaryota, Viridiplantae, Streptophyta, Magnoliopsida, Fabales, Fabaceae.
CCCACAUUCAUUUUCACAAUUCCCUCACUUUUUUUUAUGGCCAAAAACAAUUCCCUCACUUUUACUUAAAAAAUUUUCAUUUGUUCCAUAUUUCCCUCACUUUCACCGUAUAAUCCAAAAGGGGAACAAAAAAACCCUAACCUAAUUUACUCCAAUCUCUCUCAACUCACUCUCCGUCUCUCUCAACUCUCGAUCUCUCUCAACUCACUCUCGGUGAUCUCUCUCAACUCUCGAUCUCUCUCAACUCUCGAUCUCUCUCAACUCACUCUCGGUCUCUCUGAACUCUCGAUCUCUCUCAACUCACUCUCGGUCUCUCCCAACUCAAUCCGUCGAAGGUUCUUGAAUCGGGUGAAGCAGGUUACCAUGAUAUGAUAGAAUGUGUGGAAACCCUUGCAAAGCUACUGGAGUGAAGGCAGAAGAAAUAUUAGUUGAAUCUACUGGUGUAAUUGGUCAAAGGAUAAAGAAGGUAUAUGUAGAGAUUCUGUUCAUUGAGUUUUAUAUCCUAUGUGCUUGUAUUCUCUAUGAUUACAUUCUGUAAUAUUCACAAGAUUCUGGACAAGCCACUUGAGAAAUAUUCAAACAAGCUUAAUUGUUUAAUUACUGCUAAACUCACUUCUUUGUAUGUGUGCUUAUAAGCAGCUUUUAUAUAAUUAGUUAAUUAUUUGUUUAUUGUAUUGUGCAGAGAUGUCUGGGAAUACGGGUAAAAGGAAAGACAAUCCAACAAGCUCUGGUGAUCUUGACCCAAUGGCCUUGUAUAAUCGUCGAAAUCAGUCGGCAGUUAUCAUGGAGCCCGGUUCCAUAUUAAGGCCACCUACAUUUCAUUCAUAUGCACGGGAGCCUAGUUCCACUACAUUUCGGCCGGCUACAUUUAAUCCACCAUACCAGCUUACAUUUCAGUCCCAUGUACAAGAGCCUGGUUGCACUCCACCGGCAUUAGAUAACAAAGCAACUCUGUACAGUUUAGGGACUGAUUUUGCGUAACUCGGAUGGCGAAACAGUCUGAAGUGCAUGCAAAAGAGAAGACUUUAUGUUGAUCUGCUUAUUGGUGAAGCGCUGGGGUUUUGUUGGCUGAAGCGCUGAAGACUUUCUAUUCAUUUUGAUGCUGCUAAUGUGGUAAACUGUAAUUAUAGAAAUUCUAGCUUUGCUGCUAUUAAUUUAAUUGUCAAGGAUUGUAGGAAGUUAGUGACUAGGUUGACAAAUGUAUGUUUUGUUUGUUGGUAGAACACAAAUUCUGGUGCUCACAAUAUGGCCUCUUUGACUAGUAUUAUAGGUAAUAGAAUUUGGGUAAUAGUAUUAUGGGUACAAUUUGGCCUCUUUCUGUUUCUGUAGUUGUUUGAUGUUCCGUGUAACAUUAAUGGCUGUGUUUCAGCUUGUUCUUAAUGAAUUAUGUUUAACCUCAAAAAAAUGUUGUGUAUCAUAUUGCUACUUUGGUUGAUUAUAUUGUUUUGGGAUGCAA